Molecule: ribosomal RNA, 252 nt
Filed under: uncultured bacterium
Lineage: Bacteria
Description: partial 16S ribosomal RNA
Rfam family: Bacterial small subunit ribosomal RNA
Source: RNAcentral
GACAGAGGAUGCAAGCGUUAUCCGGAAUGAUUGGGCGUAAAGGGUACGUAGGCGGAUAAGCAAGUUAGAAGUGAAAUCCUAUAGCUCAACUAUAGUAAGCUUUUAAAACUGCUCAUCUUGAGGUAUGGAAGGGAAAGUGGAAUUCCUAGUGUAGCGGUGAAAUGCGCAGAUAUUAGGAGGAAUACCGGUGGCGAAGGCGACUUUCUGGCCAUAAACUGACGCUGAGGUACGAAAGCGUGGGUAGCAAACAGG